This 84-nucleotide transfer RNA is filed under the name Rhipicephalus sanguineus (brown dog tick). RNAcentral describes it as "transfer RNA leucine (anticodon CAA)". It matches the Rfam family "tRNA". Rfam says of the family: Transfer RNA (tRNA) molecules are approximately 80 nucleotides in length. The record is from RNAcentral. Lineage: Eukaryota; Metazoa; Arthropoda; Arachnida; Ixodida; Ixodidae.
GUCAGAAUGGCCGAGUGGUCUAAGGCGCCAGACUCAAGUUCUGAUCCACGAAUGUGGGCGUGGGUUCGAAUCCCACUUCUGACA